UCGAUAAGCAAUGUAGCCACUACAUGGCUUGCUACCUUGCUCGACUUUAUUUUCCAAGAACCCUAAUCUUGAUGGAUUUGCAAGGCUUUGGAAAAUCCAAUCAGGAAGAGGUGGUCUGGGACAAAGAAGUAUGCGUUAGAGGUUGGCCAGAUGAAAAAGCAACAAUUGCAACUAACAUCAAAGUUGGAUAAGAAGUUAUCGUCAAGAGUGCUGACCCAGGUGAGAUGGAGGAAGGGGGAGCAACGUCGGUGGGAGGGCAAAGAGGGACCCAAUAG
Molecule: long non-coding RNA, 275 nt
Filed under: Phoenix dactylifera (date palm)
Lineage: Eukaryota; Viridiplantae; Streptophyta; Magnoliopsida; Arecales; Arecaceae
Description: long non-coding RNA (PDAC_LNC003724)
Source: RNAcentral